UCCGGACACGAACAGUUGAGGUUAGAUUCAGUUUUCACUGAUGGGCAAUGCUGACACAAAAACGGGUUGAAGCUUGAAUUACUGGACAUCUGUAUAUGAUUUUAUAUAUCACUUUUCAGUGAAACUUGGUUUUCUCUCCAAGAGUAAAGAGACAAGUUUUUAUCUUUCUAUUGAUCAUCAUUGCCUUGUCAUGGGCUGCCUUUUGAGUCAAGAGCAAAACAUAUGUCACUACCAGCGAGCAUUUUCUUUUCAACAUGAUCACGCAAGAAGAAGAAAGUUUCCCACAAGAAAUACAAACCGACCAUUUUCAAUGUUGGCCAUGAAAGAACUAUCCGACAGGUUAAAAGACUGGCCUUCGGGUCGACCAGUGAUUAGAACUUCUGGAACUGACAGGGAAAAGCUUUGGCGGGAAUGGCGUCCAGGAAAGCUGAUGUGCCAGUAGUUCUUGAUAAAAAAAAAUACUUUAAACAAUAAGUUGGCUUAAAACUGGGUUUCGUUGGAUUAUUCAUUAAUUAUAUAGGUCACCAUCUUUUGUUUUCAACAAUAUUUGCGAAAUAUCCAUAAAAUAUUUAAUUGUGAGAGGCUUUUCCUGAAGGACCUGUAGGUAAAUUUAGGUUACUCGUUGCCAUGGUCGGACCACGUUACUGCAAUAUUGGAUACUGACUAAGGAUUGUCGAGUCAAAGUUAUACAAUUCAAUGCACACGAAAUUGUGGAAUGUAUGAAUUUUGUGUAAUGAUUACCCUGAAGCAUUCCACGAAAAUUGACCUUGCGAACGCGUGAGAAGAACACUGCAAAUGCAUGUUAUAACAUUUUACUGCAGAUGCAUACCAUAACAUCUUACAAUCUGCUGAUCAGAAUGUAAGUGCUUCUUGUAGAAUUGCUAAAGUUCCGAUUCUCGAAGAGCACGGAUGCACGUCGCGCCAAUAUUUUGUGGUGAUUUAAGAGAAUUUUAGUAAUUAAGAUUACAUGAACGUAAGAAGUCAGGCAGUUUCCUUUUAAGAGAUCAGAAACAUAGAAAAAAGAUGUAAGCGAAUUACUUCCAUCCCUACAACUUCCUAUCAUUAAAAGGUACGAAUUAAUCAAAAUACUGAAUUUCGUUUUUUAUGGGCAGGACAAUACUUCAAUGGAUAAUAAUUUUUAUGACAGCAUUUUCGUAUCAAUAGCAAGUUAAAUUUUCAAGAACAAUUUUUCCAAUGUCGAAUCUCGACCUGUUGUGUUAAUAAACUCCUUCGUUAACAAUG
Pocillopora damicornis (cauliflower coral) is the source of this 1242-nucleotide long non-coding RNA. RefSeq lists it as uncharacterized. The record is from RefSeq and is a predicted model, not a curated record. NCBI's taxonomy places the organism in Eukaryota, Metazoa, Cnidaria, Anthozoa, Scleractinia, Pocilloporidae.